UGGGGAAUAUUGGACAAUGGGCGCAAGCCUGAUCCAGCCAUGCCGCGUGGGUGAUGAAGGCCCUAGGGUUGUAAAGCCCUUUCGGCGGGGAAGAUAAUGACGGUACCCGCAGAAGAAGCCCCGGCUAACUUCGUGCCAGCAGCCGCGGUAAUACGAAGGGGGCUAGCGUUGCUCGGAAUCACUGGGCGUAAAGCGCACGUAGGCGGCUUCUUAAGUCGGUGGUGAAAUCCUGGAGCUCAACUCCAGAACUGCCUUCGAUACUGAGAGGCUCGAGUCCGGGAGAGGUGAGUGGAACUGCGAGUGUAGAGGUGAAAUUCGUAGAUAUUCGCAAGAACACCAGUGGCGAAGGCGGCUCACUGGCCCGGUACUGACGCUGAGGUGCGAAAGCGUGGGGAGCAAACAGGAUUAGAUACCCAAGUAGUCCCUGAGCGGGCUGGCAAGGCGCAU
This 447-nucleotide ribosomal RNA is filed under the name uncultured bacterium. RNAcentral's name for it is "bacterial SSU rRNA". It matches the Rfam family "Bacterial small subunit ribosomal RNA", at positions 355 to 825 of the family's 1533-position model. The record is from RNAcentral.